This 460-nucleotide ribosomal RNA is filed under the name uncultured bacterium. Its description in RNAcentral is "partial 16S ribosomal RNA". It matches the Rfam family "Bacterial small subunit ribosomal RNA", at positions 338 to 795 of the family's 1533-position model. The record is from RNAcentral.
CCUACGGGAGGCAGCAGUGAGGAAUAUUGGUCAAUGGACGAGAGUCUGAACCAGCCAAGUAGCGUGAAGGAUGACUGCCCGAUGGGUUGUAAACUUCUUUUAUAUGGGAAUAAAAUGUUCCACGUGUGGGAUUUUGUAUGUACCAUAUGAAUAAGGAUCGGCUAACUCCGUGCCAGCAGCCGCGGUAAUACGGAGGAUCCGAGCGUUAUCCGGAUUUAUUGGGUUUAAAGGGAGCGUAGGUGGAUUGUUAAGUCAGUUGUGAAAGUUUGCGGCUCAACCGUAAAAUUGCAGUUGAAACUGGCAGUCUUGAGUACAGUAGAGGUGGGCGGAAUUCGUGGUGUAGCGGUGAAAUGCUUAGAUAUCACGAAGAACUCCGAUUGCGAAGGCAGUUCACUGGACUGCAACUGACACUGAGGCUCGAAAGUGUGGGUAUCAAACAGGAUUAGAUACCCCUGUAGUC